RNAcentral lists this unclassified non-coding RNA (1877 nucleotides) under Hevea brasiliensis (rubber tree). Lineage: Eukaryota; Viridiplantae; Streptophyta; Magnoliopsida; Malpighiales; Euphorbiaceae. The record is from RNAcentral.
UUAUCACAUUAGAAGAGCUAGUGAAAGAAGAAAAAGCCUAGUAGCUAAAGCCACAAAAAAGAAAAAGCGGGAAAAAGUUGUUGUGACUACAUCGAGAAAGCCAGCAAAAGAAGAAGAAGAAGAACCUAGUUGUUAGCUGCCUCCGUUAUUGAGAAGAUAAAAACAUGGCUAUGUAUUAUCUAUUGUGCCUGUGUAUUAUUGAUGGCUAUGUAUUAUUGAAACGGACUAUGGUUAUGGGCCUAGAUUCAGUUUAGAGUUCUUUUAGUGCCUUUUAGCAUGUUCUUUUAAUUCUAUUUGUAUAAUUAAAAAUAAAUAUAAUUUAUCAUUAUAUUAAAUACAUAGUUAUUCAUAAUGAUUUAUAAAAUUUAGUUUAAACUAUUUUAAACUAUGUUUAAUAAGGUUUUAUUAAAUUAAAUAUGUAGUAAAAAAAUUAAAAUUACAAAGCAAAUACAUUUGAUUGAAAAAUAAAAUUAAUACAAUGCAUUUUAAUGAUAUUUACAUAACAUACCUGGACACCAGUGUCUAAAUUUUGAUCCAUCCCCAUAUUUUCCAUUUAGGAAGUCUAUAAGUAACACAUGGAUGUAUCCAUUUCCAACACCCAUACCGGAGUCCAAGUAACAUAGCUCAAACUUAUAGGAUUGAUUAUUCUUAUACAGUCUCUCAUGUGGCCAAACUUGCUUCUAUUCACUUAUUCAUCUCAUUGUGAGCUACUUAUGAUUGCCCUUACACCAACUCGAUGUUAGAAAUGCAAUACUUCAUGGAGAUCUCCAAGAGAAGGUUUAUAUAAAGCAACCACCUGGUUUAUUGCUUGGGGGAGUUCACUAAAGUUCUCACGCUUCAUAAAUCCUUAUAUGGCUCGAAAUAGAAUAUAUGUGCUUGUUUUUGAGAUUCAAUGAGGUAGCUCAGGAGUCUGGUAUGCAAAAGAAUAAGUGUGAUCACUCUAUGUUUUAUCAACAUUCUGAAGCUAGUCUGAUAGAUGAUAAUAUUAUCAUCACUAGAAGUGACACUAUAGGCAUCUCAUCUAUCAAACCCUUUCCUUGAAAGAUGAAGUAUGUUCUUGACUUAUUGGCAAAAUUAAGAAAACAAGGUGCUAACUACUAAACCUUGUUGUGCACCAAUCGCACCUAAUUUGCAAUUACUAGGGAGGAUGGUGAAUUGUUUAAGAAGCUGAAAGUUUAUAUAAGAUUAGUUAGCAAGUUGAAAUAUCUUAUAAUGACUUAUCCUAACUCUGCAUAUCUGUUAGUAGGGUGACUUGGUUUAUGUCCUCUCUCACUGGAUAAUUUUGGAAUAAAUUUGGUGUUAUUUGAAAAGAGCUUUAGAAUGUGGCAUAUGGCAUAGAAAUCAUAGACAUUCUUCAAAUGCAGAUUGUGCGGGUUCCAAAAUUGACAGAUCUACUAUGAGAUAUUGUAUUUUCAUUAAAGGAAACUUGAUGUCAUUAAAAAGUAAGAAAUUGAGUGUAUCCUCCAAACAUAAUGUGCAGGUUUCAAAUUUGACAAGAGAUCUCCUACGGGAUAUUAUAUUUUUGUUGGAGGUGGUGUCAUAGAAAAGUUAAAAACAUAGUAUAGUCUCCCAAUAUAGUUUUCAAUUAGAAUAUAGAACUAUGGCACAAUUUAUGUAUGUGGUAAUGCAAAUACAUUAGUUAAUUAAGUGAAGUUGGUCUUAAGACCUUGUUACCUAUGAAAUUGUGAUAUGAUAGUCAAGUUACUCUCCAUAUUGUCUCUAAUCUUAUGUUUCAUGAAUAAAUCAAACACAUCAAGAUUAAUUGUCACUCCGUGUGUAAAAAGAUCCAACAAUUCAUCUCAACAAGAAUAUCAAGACUAGAGAAUGGUUAGGAAUCAUCUUUGUAAUAUGGCUUGUGGGAAUAUAUCCCACAUUAG